GAGUGUAAAUUAGUUCAACCAUUGUGGAUGACAGUGUGGUGAUUCCUCAAAGACCUAGAGGCAGAAAUACCAUUUGACCCAGCAAUCCCAUUACUGGGUAUAUACCCAAAGGAAUAUAAAUCAUUCUGUUAUAGAGAUACGUGCAUGUGUAUGUUCACUGCAGCACUAUUCACAAUUCCAAAGACAUGGAAUCAACCCAAAUGCCCAUCAAUGAUAGACUGGUUUCAGAUAUUUCCUAGCCUCCCUGAGAGCCAGGAACCCUGAAGAAUAUUCUGCGUCUCUUCUUUUUUCAGUCUAUUGAAGGCACUCAAUAAAAAUUAUUCGACUAUCACUGUGAAGCUAUUGUGUUUGGGGGGCACAGAAACUAAUUCCUGCCUGUUCCCUAAUGAAGCGGGUUGAUCCUGGAGCACACUAUAGUUUUCAUGUGUUAUCUACUACGUGUCAGUCCUCCUAUUUCUUUUCAAAUAUUGCAACAACUCUAUGAAGUGAGUAUCAUUAUUCCAGUUUUAAAAAUAAGU
RNAcentral lists this long non-coding RNA (518 nucleotides) under Pan troglodytes (chimpanzee). RNAcentral's name for it is "long non-coding RNA NONPTRT012127". Lineage: Eukaryota; Metazoa; Chordata; Mammalia; Primates; Hominidae. The record is from RNAcentral.